AUUGAACGCUGGCGGCAGGCCUAACACAUGCAAGUCGAACGAGUGGCGGACGGGUGAGUAAUGUCUGGGAAACUGCCCGAUGGAGGGGGAUAACUCCUGGAAACGGUAGCUAAUCCCGCAUACCAUUCGAUAUGCCCAGAUGGGAUUAGCUAGUGGUGUGGGUAACGGACCACCUAGGUGACGAUCCCUAGCUGGUCUGAGAGGAUGACAAGCCACCCUGGAACUGAGACACGGUCCAUAAUCCGACGGGAGGCAGCAGUGGGGAAUAUUGCACAAUGUGCGCAAGCCUGAUGCAGCCAUGCCGCGUGUCUGAAGAAGGCCUUCGGGUUGUAAAGUACUUUCAGCGAGGAAGCGUUACUCGCAGAAGAAGCACCGGCUAACUCCGUGCCAGCAGCCGCGGUAAUAC
Molecule: ribosomal RNA, 406 nt
Filed under: uncultured bacterium
Lineage: Bacteria
Description: partial 16S ribosomal RNA
Rfam family: Bacterial small subunit ribosomal RNA
Source: RNAcentral